This 326-nucleotide long non-coding RNA is filed under the name Rhinopithecus bieti (black snub-nosed monkey). RNAcentral describes it as "lncRNA (ENSRBIG00000046387.1)". Lineage: Eukaryota; Metazoa; Chordata; Mammalia; Primates; Cercopithecidae. The record is from RNAcentral.
CCAAGAAGGGUCACCUUCACCUCAAGGUUCUACUUUUUUCUUUCUUCCAGAAUUGUGACUCAAGGUACAGUUUUACCUUGUGAAAUGGGAAUAACCAAAUGGAAGCUGGGUGGGCCCAGAAUCCAAGGAGUUUGGGUCUGGGUAAUCCUGUCAUCCUGCAGUGAUGGAGAUUUUGCUCUCAUUGAGUCUGUGUCUGGAUUAUUUCUGGUUCAUGGACAAUCUCAUUUAUUUCUGUCUUCAUAAUCAUCUGGACCUCUUUCCUGCUGCUUCACAGUGCAAGCACAGAAAAACGUUUGAAAGGAAAAUGAGAUGAAAUGCCUUCCUGC